UAGCUGAGAGGAGGUGCAUGGCCGUCGUCAGUUCGUACUGUGAAGCAUCCUGUUAAGUCAGGCAACGAGCGAGACCCACGCCAACAGUUGCCAGCUCGUCCUCCGGGGAUGGUGGGGACACUGUUGGGACCGCCUCUGCUAAAGAGGAGGAAGGAAUGGGCAACGGUAGGUCAGCAUGCCCCGAAUUAUCUGGGCUACACGCGGGCUACAAUGGGUGGGACAAUGGGUAUCGACACCGAAAGGUGAAGGCAAUCUCCUAAACCCAUCCGUAGUUCGGAUUGUGGGCUGCAACUCGCCCACAUGAAGCUGGAAUCUGUAGUAAUCGUGUCUCAAAAUGGCACGGUGAAUAUGUCCCUGCUCCUU
This 363-nucleotide ribosomal RNA is filed under the name uncultured Methanomicrobiales archaeon. RNAcentral describes it as "bacterial SSU rRNA". It matches the Rfam family "Archaeal small subunit ribosomal RNA", at positions 977 to 1338 of the family's 1478-position model. The record is from RNAcentral. Lineage: Archaea; Methanobacteriati; Methanobacteriota; Methanomicrobia; Methanomicrobiales.